Molecule: long non-coding RNA, 1049 nt
Organism: Myotis brandtii (Brandt's bat)
Lineage: Eukaryota; Metazoa; Chordata; Mammalia; Chiroptera; Vespertilionidae
Exons: 2
Source: RefSeq, a predicted model, not a curated record
GUUCAUAGGUCGACACUCAUCCACUGAGCCACACCAGUUGGGAGUAAAUAAGAAUUCUUGAGUCUCGGGAGACCUCCUUGAUUCUCUGACACCCCUCACAUCCAAAGGGCACUGAGUCUUGUUGAUUUGAUCACCUUAAUUGCUCUCAACUUUGACCCUUACUCGUCAUCCCUAUCAUCACUGCUUGAGUUCAGGUUUCAUUCAGACCACUGUGUACUAGCAGCCUUCUGGAGCUCCUUGCUUCCUUCCCGUGCUGACCUCUGAAGUGAUUCUCUAGACUAGCUUCUCACACUGUCUGUAGUCAAUUAUCAGCAUUAUUUCGUGUUGUUAAUUUCCAGCCAGUCACACACCAAUACACCUGGCCUUACCACACAUGAUUCCUAUACAACCUGAAUCCCCUGCAGCUGCCCACUGAGUUGACAACACAUAGGCUGGCCUCUGUCCUGUUCAGUAAGAUGAGCCCAUUGAUCACAAGCUGGGAUGUUGCUGGAAUGUCAAGCUGCUGUAGACGUCUGUAAGUGCUCAUUCUCAAUUCCCGGACUUGCCUGUUGCCUUGGGCCAGUAACAAACAACUCCUGGACAGGCACUGGACUGCACACCCACCUUGAUCAGCACUGCUCUAGACGGUUACCAGAGGGAAUGAUCAGCCAGUGAAGUGCCCCCAACUCCCCUUCAUCCUAUGCAAAGCCCGAGGGCUGCGUUAGUGCUUUUGUUCAGAGACAACAUUGAACUUCAGGUAUCCUGCCGAGAGCCUAGGACUAAAUCCGUCCUCCCUUUUAUGGGGUUUUCAGAAACUGCUGUUCUAACUUCCAGUGAAAUUUCAAACAUGUGCUUUCUGCUUUAUGACAAGUAAGAAGUGGAGUAAUUGAAAGUUGCUUGAGUGCUGUUAUUUUGGAGUGAAACCCUGUAAUGGAAACUUUUGUUCUGUGGCAUAUGUGAUUAAAAACAAACAUAAAUUUUCUGCUGCUUGCUGGACAUAACUCUUGGAGCCAGAUAUACAAUGUCUGUUUGUGUGACCUACUCUUCAUAAAAAUCCUUUUUAAAAAGCA